Molecule: ribosomal RNA, 479 nt
Filed under: uncultured bacterium
Lineage: Bacteria
Description: bacterial SSU rRNA
Rfam family: Bacterial small subunit ribosomal RNA
Source: RNAcentral
GACUAUGCGUCUCCGAAUGCACCAGAUGCAUUAAUGAUCCUGGCUCAGAGUGACCGCUGGNGGUUAAAGUGCCUAACACAUGCAAGUCGAACGGCAGCACAGGAGAGCUUGCUCUCUGGGUGGCGAGUGGCGGACGGGUGAGGAAUACAUCGGAAUCUACUCUGUCGUGGGGGAUAACGUAGGGAAACUUACGCUAAUACCGCAUACGACCUACGAGGUGAAAAGCAGAGGGAUCUUCGAGACCUUGCGCAGAUAUGAAUGAGCCGACGUCGGAUUAGCUAGUUGGCGGGGUAAAGGCCCACCAAGGCGACGAUCCGUAGCUGGUCUGAGAGGAUAGAUCAGCCACACUGGAACUGAAGACACAGUGUCCAGACUCCUACGGGAGGCAGCAGUGGGGAAUAUUGGACAAUUGGGCUGCAAAGCCUAGAAAUUCCAAAAGCCAAUUAACCCAAGCAGUUGUGUGUAUGAAAGAAAAGAGC